This is a long non-coding RNA of Chenopodium quinoa (quinoa), 1180 nucleotides long. RefSeq lists it as uncharacterized. The transcript is spliced from 3 exons. The record is from RefSeq and is a predicted model, not a curated record. NCBI's taxonomy places the organism in Eukaryota, Viridiplantae, Streptophyta, Magnoliopsida, Caryophyllales, Amaranthaceae.
AAAAUAAGACCCUAAUUGUUUAACUUUCCUUUCACUUUUUCUAUUAGCUCUUUCUCUCUCAUCUCUUUCACAUUUCCCUCUUUUCCCCAUCCAUCUUUGCGAUUCACACUUACCAUUUUCUUCAUCAAUGGAGAUUGGAGAAGCUCAAAAUCUCUCUGAAAUUUUACCCCAAUCUUAACCUCCUCACCAAACUCUAGCUUCUUAACAAGAACUCAACGACAAAAUUGUAACCCUAGGUCCGACUCAAUUUAACCAUCAAACCACGAGAAGAUGACCGCUCGGUUGAAGGAGAUUAAUUCGGCGGCAAAGAAGAGAUGACGAGUCGCAGAAAACGCCGUCUUCAGUCGAUAGAGAUCAAAUCUAUUAAACCAAAAUCUACUGAAGCACUUUUUGCUAGAAGAUAGCAGUGAACCACCCUCCUGUUGAGAAUAGUGAGGCUCCAGCUUAUGAAAGCUCCGAAAAUCCGACGAUUUAGCAAGGUUGACGAUUAUUGAAGGAUCAGGAAAAAAUCAGGAGGAAGAAAGUUCUAGCUGCAAAUACAGAAGAUAUUGUUCAUGUUGAGUCUAGUUCAGCUGUUCAAUCCCGGUUUGUAAACAUGAAAAUGGUCUUAAAACACCGAAAACAACACUUAAAUCAAGGAUUGCAAAGGAGAGAAUCAACAAAAAGAAAAUUCCAAUUGGGAAUGGAUUUGGAUAUGAUGCUGACGACACAACAACAGAUUGGAGCACGUGUCGACCAACAUCAUGUUAAAGUAGGACAACAAUCUAAGAGGAAGUUAGUCUCUUCUAUAUCUAAAAAAUCCCAAGUGAGAUUAGGCAAGUCUACUGCACAGAAAAAAUAUCAAUCCAGUCUGCAAGAGAUUGGGAAUGGUGUCCAAACUAAGAGAGGGUAGAGUAAGGCAAUGGUGUUUUGCUGUUGUUACUGCUUUUUUUUUUUUUUUUUUUUUUUUGCUUAUUCUGCUGUUUCUGCUGCUGCUAUUUGCUGGUGCUACUACUGUAUGCUGCUGAUCCUCUGUCUUUUUCCUACUGUCUUCUUCUAUUGCUGUAAUCUGGUAUUAAUGUCUGCUUUUAUCGGUAGCCGAUGUGUUCGCUAGCUAUGCUGCUAUUAUAACUGUUGUUUCCUACAACCGCGCUGAUUUUUAAAGAAAUUGGAGGUCUAGAAGAGACCGAAGUUCACUUUC